RNAcentral lists this ribosomal RNA (495 nucleotides) under uncultured bacterium. RNAcentral describes it as "bacterial SSU rRNA". It matches the Rfam family "Bacterial small subunit ribosomal RNA", at positions 30 to 520 of the family's 1533-position model. The record is from RNAcentral.
AUUGAACGCUGGCGGCAUGCCUUACACAUGCAAGUCGAACGGCAGCGCGGGGCAACCUGGCGGCGAGUGGCGAACGGGUGAGUAAUAUAUCGGAACGUACCCUGGAGUGGGGGAUAACGUAGCGAAAGUUACGCUAAUACCGCAUACGAUCUAAGGAUGAAAGUGGGGGAUCGCAAGACCUCAUGCUCCUGGAGCGGCCGAUAUCUGAUUAGCUAGUUGGUGGGGUAAAGGCCUACCAAGGCAUCGAUCAGUAGCUGGUCUGAGAGGACGACCAGCCACACUGGAACUGAGACACGGUCCAGACUCCUACGGGAGGCAGCAGUGGGGAAUUUUGGACAAUGGGCGAAAGCCUGAUCCAGCCAUGCCGCGUGUGUGAAGAAGGUCUUCGGAUUGUAAAGCACUUUAAGUUGGGAGGAAGGGUAGUAACCUAAUACGUUGCUACUUUGACGUUACCGACAGAAUAAGCACCGGCUAACUUCGUGCCAGCAGCCGCGG